CAAUAUAAGUGAUGGCGACCGGCGCACGGGUGAGUAACACGUAUCCAACCUGCCGAUAACUCGGGGAUAGCCUUUCGAAAGAAAGAUUAAUACCCGAUGGUAUAAUAAAACCGCAUGGUUUAAUUAUUAAAGAAUUUCGGUUAUCGAUGGGGAUGCGUUCCAUUAGGCAGUUGGUGAGGUAACGGCCCACCAAACCUUCGAUGGAUAGGGGUUCUGAGAGGAAGGUCCCCCACAUUGGAACUGAGACACGGUCCAA
Molecule: ribosomal RNA, 256 nt
Filed under: uncultured bacterium
Lineage: Bacteria
Description: partial 16S ribosomal RNA
Rfam family: Bacterial small subunit ribosomal RNA
Source: RNAcentral